UCAGGAUGAACGCUGGCGGCGUGCUUAACACAUGCAAGUCGAACGAAGAUAUUUAGAAUGAGAGCUUCGGCAGGAUUUUUAUCUAUCUUAGUGGCGGACGGGUGAGUAACGUGUGGGCAACCUGCCCUGUACUGUGGAAUAAUCAUUGGAAACGAUGACUAAUACCGCAUGUGGUCCUCGGAAGGCAUCUUCUGAGGAAGAAAGGAUUUAUUCGGUACAGGAUGGGCCCGCAUCUGAUUAGCUAGUUGGUGAGAUAACAGCCCACCAAGGCGACGAUCAGUAGCCGACCUGAGAGGGUGAUCGGCCACAUUGGGACUGAGACACGGCCCAAACUCCUACGGGAGGCAGCAGUGGGGAAUAUUGCACAAUGGGCGAAAGCCUGAUGCAGCAACGCCGCGUGAAGGAUGAAGGGUUUCGGCUCGUAAACUUCUAUCAAUAGGGAAGAAACAAAUGACGGUACCUAAAUAAGAAGCCCCGGCUAACUACGUGCCAGCAGCCGCGGUAAUACGUAGGGGGCAAGCGUUAUCCGGAAUUACUGGGUGUAAAGGGAGCGUAGGCGGCAUGGUAAGCCAGAUGUGAAAGCCUUGGGCUUAACCCGAGGAUUGCAUUUGGAACUAUCAAGCUAGAGUACAGGAGAGGAAAGCGGAAUUCCUAGUGUAGCGGUGAAAUGCGUAGAUAUUAGGAAGAACACCAGUGGCGAAGGCGGCUUUCUGGACUGAAACUGACACUGAGGCUCGAAAGCGUGGGGGAGCAAACAGGAUUAGAUACCCUGGUAGUCCACGCCGUAAACGAUGAGUGCUAGGUGUCGGGGAGGAAUCCUCGGUGCCGCAGCUAACGCAAUAAGCACUCCACCUGGGGAGUACGACCGCAAGGUUGAAACUCAAAGGAAUUGACGGGGGCCCGUACAAGCGGUGGAGCAUGUGGUUUAAUUCGAAGCAACGCGAAGAACCUUACCAAGGCUUGACAUCCCGAUGACCGUCCUAGAGAUAGGACUUCUCUUCGGAGCAUCGGUGACAGGUGGUGCAUGGUUGUCGUCAGCUCGUGUCGUGAGAUGUUGGGUUAAGUCCCGCAACGAGCGCAACCCUUAUCUUCAGUAGCCAUCAUUCAGUUGGGCACUCUGGAGAGACUGCCGUGGAUAACACGGAGGAAGGUGGGGAUGACGUCAAAUCAUCAUGCCCCUUAUGUCUUGGGCUACACACGUGCUACAAUGGCUGGUAACAAAGUGACGCAAGACGGCGACGUUAAGCAAAUCACAAAAACCCAGUCCCAGUUCGGAUUGUAGUCUGCAACUCGACUACAUGAAGCUGGAAUCGCUAGUAAUCGCGAAUCAGCAUGUCGCGGUGAAUACGUUCCCGGGCCUUGUACACACCGCCCGUCACACCAUGGGAGUUGGAAGCACCCGAAGUCGGUGACCUAACCGUAAGGAAGGAGCCGCCGAAGGUGAAGCCAGUGAC
RNAcentral lists this ribosomal RNA (1454 nucleotides) under uncultured organism. RNAcentral's name for it is "SSU rRNA". It matches the Rfam family "Bacterial small subunit ribosomal RNA". The record is from RNAcentral.